Molecule: ribosomal RNA, 866 nt
Filed under: uncultured Methanosaeta sp.
Lineage: Archaea; Methanobacteriati; Methanobacteriota; Methanomicrobia; Methanotrichales; Methanotrichaceae
Description: bacterial SSU rRNA
Rfam family: Archaeal small subunit ribosomal RNA
Source: RNAcentral
CCUGCCGGAGGUUACUGCUAUCGAGGUUCGACUAAGCCAUGCGAGUCGAAUGUAGCAAUACAUGGCGUACUGCUCAGUAACACGUGGACAACCUACCCUUUGGUCGGGGAUAAACCCGGGAAACUGGGUAUAAUACCCGCUAGUCCUCGGAAGCUGGAAUGCCCCGAGGACGAAAGCUCCGGCGCCGAAGGAUGGGUCUGCGGCCUAUCAGGUAGUAGUGGGUGUAGCGUACCUACUAGCCUACGACGGGUACGGGUUGUGAGAGCAAGAGCCCGGAGAUGGAUUCUGAGACACGAAUCCAGGCCCUACGGGGUGCAGCAGGCGCGAAAACUUUACAAUGCCGGCAACGGCGAUAAGGGAACCUCGAGUGCCAGGUUACAAAUCUGGCUGUCGUGAUGCCUAAAAAGCAUUGCAUAGCAAGGGCCGGGCAAGACCGGUGCCAGCCGCCGCGGUAACACCGGCGGCUCGAGUGGUAACCGUUAUUAUUGGGUCUAAAGGGCCUGUAGCCGGCCGGAUAAGUCUUUUGGUAAAUCCGGCAGCUCAACUGUCGGGCUUCAGGAGAUACUGUCUGGCUCGAGGCCGGGAGAGGUGAGAGGUACUUCAGGGGUAGGGGUGAAAUCUUGUAAUCCUUGAAGGACCACCAGUGGCGAAGGCGUCACACCAGAACGGACCUGACGGCAAGGGACGAAAGCUAGGGGCACGAACCGGAUUAGAUACCCGGGUAGUCCUAGCCGUAAACGAUACUCGCUAGGUGUCGGCCACGGUGCGACCGUGGUCGGUGCCGUAGGGAAGCCGUGAAGCGAGCCACCUGGGAAGUACGGCCGCAAGGCUGAAACUUAAAAGGAAUUGGCGGGGGAGCACCACAA